GGGUUUGCUUUGGCAGCUCAUAUGCUAAAAUUGAAAUGAUAAAAAGAUUAGCAUGGGCCCUGUGCAAGGAUGACAUGAAAAUUUAUGAAGCAUUCUGUAUUAAA
This 104-nucleotide small nuclear RNA is filed under the name Phascolarctos cinereus (koala). Lineage: Eukaryota; Metazoa; Chordata; Mammalia; Diprotodontia; Phascolarctidae. The record is from RNAcentral.